AAAGAAAGCCAGAAAAUUACAGGAUCGAGUUAAAAAUAAUUUUAAGGAAGGUUCGAAACUGAUAAAACCAAAUUCAAAACGUUUUGGCUUCAUUCCUCCACCGC
Cimex lectularius (bed bug) is the source of this 104-nucleotide long non-coding RNA. RefSeq lists it as uncharacterized. The transcript has 3 exons. NCBI's taxonomy places the organism in Eukaryota, Metazoa, Arthropoda, Insecta, Hemiptera, Cimicidae. The record is from RefSeq and is a predicted model, not a curated record.